Cygnus olor (mute swan) is the source of this 3530-nucleotide long non-coding RNA. RefSeq lists it as uncharacterized. The transcript is spliced from 6 exons. The record is from RefSeq and is a predicted model, not a curated record. NCBI's taxonomy places the organism in Eukaryota, Metazoa, Chordata, Aves, Anseriformes, Anatidae.
CCCCCUCGUCAGAGCCCGGCUUGCCGGUCCCUGUCCUUGCCUCACCAGAGUUGUCCUUGACGGAGCUGGGAGGGGGAAUACAAGCCGGUUGUUGAAAACAAGCAGCUCAGGGUUAUUUCACCUGCUCUGCACACUUUGCUGUUUCCGUCCUUCCCCCAGCAUAAGCCCACACUAGCUGGAAGAAAGGCAGAAAAUGAGCCCGGGCAGUACAGUCUGUGAAUGAGAUUUAACAACUGAGGAUCCCAGCACACAGCAGGAGAAAGGUAUUACCCUGUGCUGAUUGAAGGGUCUCCAAACUGCACAGAUAUGUUAAGACCUUCUGACUACCGAAACUGGACACCAGCUCAGUGCAUGUUCUCUUGAGGUAAAAGCUUGUUGGGACACCUACCUUCCUAUGGCCACACCCUGCAGGACUUCGUGACCUUGCAAUGAUGGACCUACAAUUCCAUGAUUCAUUGAGAGGAGUCAUGUCAUGCCAAGACGUGAACCAUCUGGAAUAAAAUUAUGGUCUUGGGAUGAAAUGUCUUAAGAGCCACCAAAAACGCCUCUUCUUACCUCAAAAUCUUCAUCAGAUCAUCUUGAACUGAGGAGAGCCAUGACAACUAGAAUUGACAUGGAAGUCUUUCAGAGAGUCCAGAGAGGAGCUUCUGCAGUGGAAGAUUCCAAGCUCUGGGAUUUCUCAUGGCAAAGAUUAGCAGCAGUCAUACUAGAUUUUUUGGAGGACUUUUGAAGAUCUUGACAUUUAUUACAUAGAGGAAACUUCUAAAAAUUUAAGUACCAUCCUCCAACAAUUCUUCCUACCCACCUCCCAAAAUCCACUUCAAAAAAUACGAAGUAUCGUUAAAAAGAGUUGCCAGUAGUCUGUUAUCAAGCAUUGGCUGACCUCACCUCUUUUGUUACCCUCUUCUUUGCUGAUGGCAGCACCCAAAUUUUAUAGAUACAUACUACCAUUUGGGUUUCCUGACAUACUUUGCAUUUGACUGGUAAUUCCUGAUAUAAAAGUGACCUAUAUACAGCAUUGUUUUUAGGGUUAGCAAGCAAGACUGUAUAUGCUCAAGAUGAUCUUGAGUAAAGGGUAUUACAAAACUACAACCUUAAUUAGAAAUUUGUCUACUGUAGAUGUAAAAAAUUACAUGUUUACUGGUUCCAGCUCAAAAAUUAGAUAUUUUUUGUCAGAGAAGCUCACUGGUACAUAUGUUUCUUUAAUCUACCUCACUAAACAAGGUGGAAGGCUUUCAGUUUCUUCUCUGUAUCAACCAUUCUUAGGAGGAAAUUGUGUUUGACCUUCUAAAUAUCUGUUUUGUUUAUGCAAUGGUAAUUUCCAAGGUUCCAGUUUGGAUUGGGCACUUUGGAUCUACACCAUAUGGCAGUAUAUGCACACCAUGGGAAGAAAACCCUUACCUUAUGUGGUAAACAGCUUUAAAAUCAAUAGUACUUGAAAAUUAGAUUUUGGUUAUUGUAUCAGAGGUGAACAUCUUAUCAGAGAUAAAUAUUGUAUCUGAUAGCAAACAUAAUACUGAAGUCAAAAUGGCAGAAGACCUGGCCUCUCCCCUACUUUUCUAAGUAGUUUCAUAAAUCCAGUUUUUGUUUGCACAAAUGGUACACAUGGAGAGAAUCCUUUUAUUCCUAUGAAUGAAAGCAUUUGUGUGCAAAUGAACACAUUCACAUGCAAAUGACUAUAUUUGCACAAGAAGCACUUGUCCACCUGCCACAUGAGCCUUGGCUUUUCGACUUCCAGCUUCCAGCGUCUGGGGACUGGAGGUACGGAGUGAAUAGGAGAAUAAGAAUGCCAGCAAUAUUUCAGAAGUUGAAUGGUCAGUCACUAUGAACAGCAAACAGGGAGGAUAAAAGAAAGCAAAGGGAAAGAAAAAUGAAAAAUGGAAAUGGACAGAGAAGAUUCUUACAACUGCUCAUAUAAGGCAAGUAGAAAGACCACUGUGUCCCAGAGCUGAAGCAAUGGCAAACUGCAAGCAAGGAAGGAAGAUGAAGUACUGAAAAUGAAGUCAAGGCUUUUAACAGAUUCCUUUGUUUCCCUUCCUAUUUAGCACCUAAAUAAAUUGCCUGAAAGGAUAAAAUCUUUUCUGCAAUAAUGGAGUCUUACUGCACUGAAAUCCUGUAGGUGAGACCCGGAGAGACUUUUAAAGUACAGGAGAAUGAUUUUUUUCCAUUCACAUUAUUUCCAUUCUUUUUCACGUAUACAAAUAACCAGCUCAUAAGCAAUAGAAGUGCUGUUGCUUUCUAGACUUCCUAAGGCUGCUCAUGAUCAGUGCUACUUUGACAGCAUAGAGUGCUAAUCUGUUUCUCCAGACCAAUUCGGCCACCUAGUAGGAAAAGUUUAACAGUGAAUAGUGAAAAAAGAUCUGAGAAGAGUGCAUCAAGCAGCUGAGGACUUGCAUCCUUAAACCCCAUCUUAUCAAAAGAAGCAAAACUAUGCAGCUCAUUUCUUACUUGUUUCUCAUUAGACAUUAUAUUCAGCCAAGAAAAUACAGCAUACAUCCCAAAUAAAUCCUAACGAUAAAAAACACAAAAAAACGAAAACCAGAACCUGAUUGCACUCCCAGUGGGUCCUCAGGAGCUGACUGCUGCAUAUGCAGCAGGUGGACAUCCAGUGAAGCAUGUAAUCCCCCUACGGUAAACUAAGUGAGCAGGAUCUGUGGAUACAGAGGCAGCCUGCCAAAGUACGGCUGCUAGGUGGCCGAUGUGUUGUAUCUCACAGGAGUCUUCCUGCACCUAGCAGAAGAUUUUGAGGCCAUGCAGCCCCCAGAGAGUGUUUUUUCUUUUUAAUUUAAAAUGUGUGAUUACCCCUUACUUUCUGCCACCUGUUCUGCUUAUAAACUUCUUCAGAGCCCCUCUCUCUGUCUAAUUUCCAGCAAGCUGUCAUGUUACCCUCACUCAGGGAGCUACCUUCUCCCCUAGGCAUUGAGAUGACUCAUGUGCACUCAUGUGUGCAGAGUGGCAGCUGGCCCUAAGGCCAGUCAGGGAUGUGACCCAUUUAUCAGUUGCUUAAUUUUCUUGUAAACUCUGAACCCUGCUAAAAGAAAGUUGAUAACUCAUGUGGAGCUUCACUUGUAGCAGCAUUUCUGUCAGUUCUCAGAAUCCCCUACCUGUUAGAAUGCUUUCUGGGAAGGUACAGUCCACAAAAAUGUAUGGAAAAACUAGGAACUCCAUUAAAAUUUCCCACAUUUUCAUCUCAAGACAUUAUUUCUACAGGAACCGCAGGUGCAAAUUCAGGCAGCUCCCUCAGACAAAAUCAGAUGUGUUCUUUCUGAAAUCAUAGCUUGGCUACUGGUCAGAGUAGCCAUCCAUAUCCACACGCUCCUCCUCUUCACGUUCCACCAGCUGGUCAGACAACAAAGCCUGUAUGAUGUAUAUCACUUAAUAGGCCUCUUAAUUUCAUGUUACUAAACCCUCAUCAACAUAAUUUCAGCUAGUACAAAGCAUAAUCUCUGUAAACAUUGCUGCAGGGUUUUUGUGGAAACCAUUACAAAACUCCACAAGGUAUUAUUGUCCAGCAAUGAUGCUGCUGCUGC